RNAcentral lists this small RNA (75 nucleotides) under Arabidopsis thaliana (thale cress). RNAcentral describes it as "ATSL034420". Lineage: Eukaryota; Viridiplantae; Streptophyta; Magnoliopsida; Brassicales; Brassicaceae. The record is from RNAcentral.
AUAAAACAAAAAUAACUAACCCUCAAUCUCAGCAAUUCUCCAAAACCUCCCAAUGGCAACAAUGAGCUGAUAGUU